AUUGAACGCUGGCGGCAGGCCUAACACAUGCAAGUCGAGCGGAUGAAGGGGGCUUGCUCCUGGAUUCAGCGGCGGACGGGUGAGUAAUGCCUAGGAAUCUGCCUGGUCGUGUGGGAUAACGUCCGGAAACGGGCGCUAAUACCGCAUACGUCCUGAGGGAGAAAGUGGGGGAUCUUCGGACCUCACGCUAUCAGAUGAGCCUAGGUCGGAUUAGCUAGUUGGUGGGGUAAAUGCCUACCAAGGCGACGAUCCGUAACUGGUCUGAGAGGAAGAUCAGUCACACUGGAACUGAGACACGGUCCAGACUCCUACGGGAGGCAGCAGUGGGGAAUAUUGGACGAUGGGGCAAAGGCGGAUCCAGCCAUGCCGAGGGUGGGAAGAAGGUCUUCGGAUGGUAAAGCACUUUAAGUUGGGAGGAAGGGCAGUAAGUUAAUACCUGGUUGUUUUGACGUUACCAACAGAAUAAGCACCGGCUAACUUCGUG
This 484-nucleotide ribosomal RNA is filed under the name uncultured bacterium. Its description in RNAcentral is "partial 16S ribosomal RNA". It matches the Rfam family "Bacterial small subunit ribosomal RNA", at positions 30 to 507 of the family's 1533-position model. The record is from RNAcentral.